AUGGUUAAGCUACUAAGAGCACACGGAGGAUGCCUAGGCGCUAGGAGCCGAUGAAGGACGUGGCGAACAACGAAACUGCCUCGGGGAGCUGUAAGCAAGCUUUGAUCCGGGGGUGUCCGAAUGGGGAAACCCAGCUGGGGUAAUUUCCAGUUACUCAUAACUGAAUACAUAGGUUAUGCAGAGGCAUACCAGGGGAACUGAAACAUCUAAGUACCCUGAGGAAGAGAAAACAAUAGUGAUUCCGUCAGUAGCGGCGAGCGAACGCGGAGAAGCCCAAACCAGAGAGCUUGCUCUUUGGGGUUGUGGGACGUCUCACAUGGAGUUACAAAGGAACCGGUUAAGCGAAGAGGUCUGGAAAGGCCCGCCAAAGAAGGUAAAAGCCCUGUAGUUGAAAGUUGGUUCCCUCCGAGACGGAUCCCGAGUAGUGCGGGGCACGUGAAACCCCGUAUGAAUCCGGCAGGACCAUCUGCCAAGGCUAAAUACUUCCUAGCGACCGAUAGUGAAGCAGUACCGUGAGGGAAAGGUGAAAAGCACCCCGGAAGGGGAGUGAAAUAGAACCUGAAACCGUGUGCUUACAAAAAGUCAGAGCCCGUUUUAGGGGUGAUGGCGUGCCUUUUGUAGAAUGAACCGGCGAGUUACGUUCCCGUGCAAGGUUAAGGUGAAGAGCCGGAGCCGCAGCGAAAGCGAGUCUGAAUAGGGCGACUUAGUACGUGGACGUAGACCCGAAACCGGGUGAUCUACCCCUGUCCAGGGUGAAGGUGCGGUAACACGCACUGGAGGCCCGAACCCACGCAUGUUGAAAAAUGCGGGGAUGAGGUGGGGGUAGCGGAGAAAUUCCAAUCGAACUCGGAGAUAGCUGGUUCUCCCCGAAAUAGCUUUAGGGCUAGCCUCGGAAAACAGAGUCGUGGAGGUAGAGCACUGAUUGGGUGCGGGGCCCGCAAGGGUUACCAAGCUCAGUCAAACUCCGAAUGCCAUAGACUUACUUCCGGGAGUCAGACAGUGAGUGCUAAGAUCCAUUGUCAAAAGGGAAACAGCCCAGACCAUCAGCUAAGGUCCCCAAGUGUGUGUUAAGUGGGAAAGGAUGUGGAGUUGCACAGACAACCAGGAUGUUGGCUUAGAAGCAGCCAUCAUUGAAAGAGUGCGUAAUAGCUCACUGGUCGAGUGACUCUGCGCCGAAAAUGUAACGGGGCUAAACACACCACCGAAGCUAUGGCUUGAUGCUUUGCAUCAGGGGUAGGGGAGCGUUGUAUAAGGGUUGAAGGUGUACCGUAAGGAGCGCUGGACAUUAUACAAGUGAGAAUGCCGGUAUGAGUAACGAAAAGAUCAGUGAGAAUCUGAUCCGCCGAAAGCCUAAGGGUUCCUGAGGAAGGCUCGUCCGCUCAGGGUAAGUCGGGACCUAAGGCGAGGCCGAAAGGCGUAGUCGAAGGACAACAGGUCGAAAUUCCUGUACCACCGUAAGCCGUUAUGAGCAAUGGGGGGACGCAGUAGGGUAGUGACGCGGACUGAUGGAUGUCCGUCUAAGCAGUAAGGCUGAUGUGUAGGCAAAUCCGCACAUUGUAAGGCUGAGCUGUGAUGGGGAGCGAAAAUUAUAGUAGCGAAGGUCAUGAUCUCACACUGCCAAGAAAAGCCUCUAGCCAGGUGAUGGUGCCCGUACCGCAAACCGACACAGGUAGGCGAGAAGAGUAUUCUAAGGCGCGCGGAAGAACUCUCGUUAAGGAACUCGGCAAAAUGACCCCGUAACUUCGGGAGAAGGGGUGCCCCGGUAGUGUGAAUAGCACGAGGGGGCCGCAGUGAAAAGGCCCAAGCGACUGUUUAGCAAAAACACAGGUCUGUGCGAAGCCGUAAGGCGAAGUAUACGGGCUGACGCCUGCCCGGUGCUGGAAGGUUAAGGGGAGUGGUUAGGAGCAAUCCGAAGCUGUGAACCGAAGCCCCAGUAAACGGCGGCCGUAACUAUAACGGUCCUAAGGUAGCGAAAUUCCUUGUCAGGUAAAUUCUGACCCGCACGAAUGGCGUAACGACUUGGGCGCUGUCUCAACGAGAGAUCCGGUGAAAUUUUAAUACCUGUGAAGAUGCAGGUUACCCGCGACAAGACGGAAAGACCCCAUGGAGCUUUACUGCAGCUUGAUAUUGAAUUUGGGUACGAUCUGUACAGGAUAGGUGGGAGCCUUUGAAGUGUGAGCGCCA
This 2184-nucleotide ribosomal RNA is filed under the name Paenibacillus amylolyticus. RNAcentral describes it as "bacterial LSU rRNA". It matches the Rfam family "Bacterial large subunit ribosomal RNA", at positions 1 to 2173 of the family's 2925-position model. Lineage: Bacteria; Bacillati; Bacillota; Bacilli; Caryophanales; Paenibacillaceae. The record is from RNAcentral.